RNAcentral lists this ribosomal RNA (462 nucleotides) under uncultured bacterium. Its description in RNAcentral is "partial 16S ribosomal RNA". It matches the Rfam family "Bacterial small subunit ribosomal RNA", at positions 28 to 507 of the family's 1533-position model. The record is from RNAcentral.
GACGAACGCUGGCGGCGUGCUUAACACAUGCAAGUCGAGCGGAAAGGCCACUUCGGUGGUACUCGAGCGGCGAACGGGUGAGUAACACGUGAGUAAUCUGCCCCUGGCUUUGGGAUAGCCACCGGAAACGGUGAUUAAUACCGGAUAUGACACAUUCUCGCAUGAGUUUGUGUGGAAAGUUUUUCGGCCAGGGAUGUGCUCGCGGCCUAUCAGCUUGAUGGUGAGGUAAUGCUCACCAUGGCUUCGACGGGUAGCCGGCCUGAGAGGGUGACCGGUCACACUGGGACUGAGACACGGCCCAGACUCCUACGGGAGGCAGCAGUGGGGAAUAUUGGACAAUGGGCGGAAGCCUGAUCCAGCAACGCCGCGUGAGGGAUGACGGCCUUCGGGUUGUAAACCUCUUUCAGUACCGACGAAGCGCAAGUGACGGUAGGUACAGAAGAAGCACCGGCCAACUACGUG